This 616-nucleotide ribosomal RNA is filed under the name uncultured bacterium. RNAcentral describes it as "bacterial SSU rRNA". The stretch from base 1 to 522 matches the Rfam family "Bacterial small subunit ribosomal RNA", at positions 338 to 873 of the family's 1533-position model. The record is from RNAcentral.
CCUACGGGAGGCAGCAGUGGGGAAUAUUGGACAAUGGGCGAAAGCCUGAUCCAGCAAUGCCGCGUGAGUGAUGAAGGCCUUAGGGUUGUAAAGCUCUUUUACCAGGGAUGAUAAUGACAGUACCUGGAGAAUAAGCUCCGGCUAACUCCGUGCCAGCAGCCGCGGUAAUACGGAGGGAGCUAGCGUUGUUCGGAAUUACUGGGCGUAAAGCGUGCGUAGGCGGCGAUUCAAGUCAGAGGUGAAAGCCUGGAGCUCAACUCCAGAACUGCCUUUGAAACUAGAUUGCUAGAAUCAUGGAGAGGUGAGUGGAAUUCCGAGUGUAGAGGUGAAAUUCGUAGAUAUUCGGAAGAACACCAGUGGCGAAGGCGGCUCACUGGACAUGUAUUGACGCUGAGGCACGAAAGCGUGGGGAGCAAACAGGAUUAGAUACCCUGGUAGUCCACGCCGUAAACGAUGAUAACUAGCUGCCAGGGCUCAUAGAGCUUUGGUGGCGCNGCGUACGACGAUUAAGUUAGUACCGCCGUCGGGUAAGGUACGGUCGUUCGAGUAGUUAAACGUUAACUAAGUUAGAGUUAGACGGACGNGAGAGNGCGACGGACGACGACGAGGGAGGAGG